ACCCAGCUGAUGAGUCCCAAAUAGGACGGAACGCGAGUCAUGCAU
Molecule: non-coding RNA, 45 nt
Filed under: Schistosoma curassoni
Lineage: Eukaryota; Metazoa; Platyhelminthes; Trematoda; Strigeidida; Schistosomatidae
Source: RNAcentral